This 433-nucleotide ribosomal RNA is filed under the name uncultured bacterium. Its description in RNAcentral is "partial 16S ribosomal RNA". It matches the Rfam family "Bacterial small subunit ribosomal RNA", at positions 29 to 507 of the family's 1533-position model. The record is from RNAcentral.
AACGAACGCUGGCGGCAUGCCUAACACAUGCAAGUCGAACGAGACCUUCGGGUCUAGUGGCGCACGUGUGCUUACCGCGUGGUAACCUGCCCUUAGGUUCGGAAUACCUCCCCGAAAGGGGUCCUAAUACCGGAUAAUGUCUUCGCACCAAAGAUUUAUCGCUUUUGGAUGGGCCCGCGUUGGAUUCGCUAGUUGGUAGGGUAAAAGCCUACCAAGGCGACGAUCCAGAGCUGGUCUGAGAGGAUGAUCAGCCACACUGGGACUGAGACACGGCCCAGACUCCUACGGGAGGCAGCAGUGGGGAAUAUUGGACAAUGGGCGAAAGCCUGAUCCAGCAAUGCCGCGGGAGUGAUGAAGGCCUUAGGGUUGUAAAGCUCUUUUAGCCGGGAUGAGAAUGACAGUACCGGGAGAAUAAGCUCCGGCUAACUCCGUG